CGUAGACUUGCAAAGGAAGCGGUAAAGAGCUGUACCCCCGCUCUGGGGGGUUUAUCAUCAGAAGGAGAGAGACCCGAGGGAGCCACCUGCCCACUCCAGAUGAGGUGCUCCGUGGAACACGAGGAGCACACGAAACCCGAUCAGCUUUGUGUGACUUCCGCGUGUGGGGUGGCACGCGUGUGCUUGCUAUUCAUUGUUUCUGCUGGGGGCAUUUUUAUCUUUUGAAAUUCUUUCUUCUGAACCUUUCGUGCCUACCAGAACCAGCCUGUCAGGAUGCGCCUGAUCUCCACAGCAGCCCCUCCAUCCGACUCUGAAGAAGCCGUCAGCUCACAGAAGAUUCCUUUUGUUUAAUGAGUAACAGCUACUGACUCACUCCAUGGCCCACCAGAAUGACAGACUCCUGUUCAAAAGCCUGAUCUGAAGUUGCUGCCAUGACACAAGCAAUGCCUGUGAAGUGCCUGCAGCCCACGCCUCUGAGACAGGCCAGGCGUGUGGUGGACACGCAGCUGCAGGCGCUUGCUCUCUGUCAUCACGAGAAAAAGUAUCCCUGCACCGGACAAGAAAGGACCUGCAGGCACACUCACAAUCAACUUCCUGAUUUCACAAUGAUGCGAACUCUCCAUCGGGACAUGGGACCUGGCUGUACGAGUUAAUUCAAACUGAGCCACUUUCCAUUAGGGCACCAAAUGGAGUUAGCAAUCCAAGAUUAUUUUAUUUUCUGGGCUAUCCAGAUGACUUAAAGCCUCGCUGAAGUUCCCAUGAGAAGAGUUUAAACAACCCAAAGAAAGCACGUAAGAAAGGAAUAACAACAACAAAACCCAGAAAGAAUGAAUAGGAAACAAAUGCAGUGGUUCCCCUUACCUGUGGCGAAGACGUUCCAAGACCCCCAGUGGAUAGUACCAAGCCCUAGAUAUAUGAUAUUUUUUCUGUAUACACACACACCUAUAAUGAAGCUUAAUUUAUAAGUUGGGAACAGUAAGAAAUUAGCAACAGUAACUAAUAUAACAAUAUACAAUAAUAAAAGUGAUGUGUGUGUGAUUUCUCUCUCUCAAAAUAUCUUAUUGUACUGUAUGCACCUAUUUUCAGAUCAUGGUCGACUGCAGGGAACUGAAACUACAGAAAUGAACACUUCCAAUAAGAGGCAACUACUGUUCUCAAACGGUAGAGUCAAA
RNAcentral lists this long non-coding RNA (1172 nucleotides) under Homo sapiens (human). RNAcentral describes it as "HSALNT0375344". Lineage: Eukaryota; Metazoa; Chordata; Mammalia; Primates; Hominidae. The record is from RNAcentral.